This is a small nuclear RNA of Bactrocera neohumeralis, 198 nucleotides long. RefSeq annotates it as U2 spliceosomal RNA. The record is from RefSeq and is a predicted model, not a curated record. NCBI's taxonomy places the organism in Eukaryota, Metazoa, Arthropoda, Insecta, Diptera, Tephritidae. The transcript has a single exon.
AUCGCUUCUCGGCCUAAUGUCUAAGAUUAAAGUGUAAUAUAUGUUCUAAUCAGUUUAACAUCUAAUAGAUCCUCCAUCGGAGGAUAACAAAUGUUAAAAUGAUUUUUGGAAAUCGAAGGAGAGUUUUAGGGGCUUGCCCUACCUCUAUCACGGGUUGGAACGGUUUUGCAGUGCCACCGGGAUUUCGGCCCAAAUAAU